UAUUUGUAACUUAAAAGAAAAUGUCAAUUAAAUAAAUUUUUGAGAGAAAUUUUUUCCCCUCAAACCUAAUUUUACUCUUGUUCUCUGCUCUGGUGGACUGAUAUCAUCAUUCACUUCCAAGACAAGAGACCUACAAGUAAUUCAAGAUCCUUCCUUCUCUGUAAUCUUCCACCCUUCCACUUAGUCACUAAAUCCAAAUUUUGGCUCAUAAAUAUCCCGACCUUCUUCUAAUUAAUAAGUCCUGUCUAUUCUAGUUCCUAAAUAUCUUUUAAAUCCCUUCCCCUCUUUACCAUCCCUGCGAAUAAGGCUUGUGUUUUGUUUUUUUUUAAUUCAGGACUUCAUCAUCUGUCAAUAAUCACAUAUUUUAUUCACCCAUCCAUUCUCUCUCAUAUAACACUCUCAGAACUAUCUUUCUAAACAAUUAUAGUGUACCACUGCUGGAAAACAAAUGAAAACAUUUUUAAGAGGC
This 469-nucleotide long non-coding RNA is filed under the name Bos taurus (domestic cattle). RNAcentral describes it as "long non-coding RNA NONBTAT026687". Lineage: Eukaryota; Metazoa; Chordata; Mammalia; Artiodactyla; Bovidae. The record is from RNAcentral.